CAGUAGCCGCGGUAAUACGAAGGGUGCAAGCGUUAAUCGGAAUUACUGGGCGUAAAGCGCGCGUAGGUGGUUUGGUAAGAUGGAUGUGAAAUCCCGGGCUCAACCUGGGAACUGCAUCCAUAACUGCCUGACUAGAGUACGGUAGAGGGUGGUGGAAUUUCCUGUGUAGCGGUGAAAUGCGUAGAUAUAGGAAGAAACACCAGUGGCGAAGGCGACCACCUGGACUGAUACUGACACUGAGGUGCGAAAGCGUGGGGAGCAAACAGGAUUAGAUACCCGCGUAGUCCCUGUCUCUUAUACA
This 301-nucleotide ribosomal RNA is filed under the name uncultured bacterium. RNAcentral's name for it is "partial 16S ribosomal RNA". It matches the Rfam family "Bacterial small subunit ribosomal RNA", at positions 509 to 808 of the family's 1533-position model. The record is from RNAcentral.